AGCCUGAUCCAGCCAUGCCGCGUGCAGGAUGACGGUCCUAUGGAUUGUAAACUGCUUUUGUACGAGAAGAAACACUCCAACGUGUUGGAGCUUGACGGUAUCGUAAGAAUAAGGAUCGGCUAACUCCGUGCCAGCAGCCGCGGUAAUACGGAGGAUCCAAGCGUUAUCCGGAAUCAUUGGGUUUAAAGGGUCCGUAGGCGGUUUAGUAAGUCAGUGGUGAAAGCCCAUCGCUCAACGGUGGAACGGCCAUUGAUACUGCUAAACUUGAAUUAUUAGGAAGUAACUAGAAUAUGUAGUGUAGCGGUGAAAUGCUUAGAGAUUACAUGGAAUACCAAUUGCGAAGGCAGGUUACUACUAAUGGAUUGACGCUGAUGGACGAAAGCGUGGGUAGCGAACAGGAUUAGAUACCCUGGUAGUCCACGCCGUAAACGAUGGAUACUAGCUGUUGGGAGCAAUCUCAGUGGCUAAGCGAAAGUGAUAAGUAUCCCACCUGGGGAGUACGUUCGCAAGAAUGAAACUCAAAGGAAUUGACGGGGGCCCGCACAAGCGGUGGAGCAUGUGGUUUAAUUCGAUGAUACGCGAGGAACCUUACCAAGGCUUAAAUGUAGUUUGACCGAUUUGGAAACAGAUCU
RNAcentral lists this ribosomal RNA (632 nucleotides) under Flavobacterium sp. Ri2Pw_5859. RNAcentral's name for it is "bacterial SSU rRNA". It matches the Rfam family "Bacterial small subunit ribosomal RNA", at positions 380 to 1013 of the family's 1533-position model. The record is from RNAcentral. Lineage: Bacteria; Pseudomonadati; Bacteroidota; Flavobacteriia; Flavobacteriales; Flavobacteriaceae.